GACCGGGGCUAUCAACCACUCGGCCAUCUCUC
RNAcentral lists this transfer RNA (32 nucleotides) under Rosa rugosa (rugosa rose). Its description in RNAcentral is "partial tRNA-Ser". Lineage: Eukaryota; Viridiplantae; Streptophyta; Magnoliopsida; Rosales; Rosaceae. RNAcentral also lists the same sequence under 5 other names. The record is from RNAcentral.